RNAcentral lists this ribosomal RNA (1431 nucleotides) under uncultured organism. Its description in RNAcentral is "16S ribosomal RNA". It matches the Rfam family "Bacterial small subunit ribosomal RNA". The record is from RNAcentral.
UGCUUAACACAUGCAAGUCGAACGGAAAGGCCCUGCUUUUGUGGGGUGCUCGAGUGGCGAACGGGUGAGUAACACGUGAGUAACCUGCCCUUGACUUUGGGAUAACUUCAGGAAACUGGGGCUAAUACCGGAUAGGAGCUCCUGCUGCAUGGUGGGGGUUGGAAAGUUUCGGCGGUUGGGGAUGGACUCGCGGCUUAUCAGCUUGUUGGUGGGGUAGUGGCUUACCAAGGCUUUGACGGGUAGCCGGCCUGAGAGGGUGACCGGCCACAUUGGGACUGAGAUACGGCCCAGACUCCUACGGGAGGCAGCAGUGGGGAAUAUUGCACAAUGGGCGGAAGCCUGAUGCAGCAACGCCGCGUGCGGGAUGACGGCCUUCGGGUUGUAAACCGCUUUCGCCUGUGACGAAGCGUGAGUGACGGUAAUGGGUAAAGAAGCACCGGCUAACUACGUGCCAGCAGCCGCGGUGAUACGUAGGGUGCGAGCGUUGUCCGGAUUUAUUGGGCGUAAAGGGCUCGUAGGUGGUUGAUCGCGUCGGAAGUGUAAUCUUGGGGCUUAACCCUGAGCGUGCUUUCGAUACGGGUUGACUUGAGGAAGGUGGGGGAGAAUGGAAUUCCUGGUGGAGCGGUGGAAUGCGCAGAUAUCAGGAGGAACACCAGUGGCGAAGGCGGUUCUCUGGGCCUUUCCUGACGCUGAGGAGCGAAAGCGUGGGGAGCGAACAGGCUUAGAUACCCUGGUAGUCCACGCUGUAAACGGUGGGUACUAGGUGUGGGGUCCAUUCCACGGGUUCCGUGCCGUAGCUAACGCUUUAAGUACCCCGCCUGGGGAGUACGGCCGCAAGGCUAAAACUCAAAGGAAUUGACGGGGCCCCGCACAAGCGGCGGAGCAUGCGGAUUAAUUCGAUGCAACGCGUAGAACCUUACCUGGGUUUGACAUGGAUCGGGAGUGCUCAGAGAUGGGUGUGCCUCUUUUGGGGUCGGUUCACAGGUGGUGCAUGGCUGUCGUCAGCUCGUGUCGUGAGAUGUUGGGUUAAGUCCCGCAACGAGCGCAACCCUUGUUCACUGUUGCCAGCACGUUAUGGUGGGGACUCAGUGGAGACCGCCGGGGUCAACUCGGAGGAAGGUGGGGAUGACGUCAAGUCAUCAUGCCCCUUAUGUCCAGGGCUUCACGCAUGCUACAAUGGCUGUACAGAGAGUGGCGAGCCUGUGAGGGUGAGCGAAUCUCGGAAAGCCGGUCUCAGUUCGGAUUGGGGUCUGCAACUCGACCUCAUGAAGUCGGAGUCGCUAGUAAUCGCAGAUCAGCAACGCUGCGGUGAAUACGUUCCCGGGGCUUGUACACACCGCCCGUCAAGUCAUGAAAGUUGGUAACACCCGAAGCCGGUGGCCUAACCGUUGUGGGGGAGCCGUCGAAGGUGGGACUGGUGAUUAGGACUAA